UUUAUUGGAGAGUUUGAUCCUGGCUCAGGAUGAACGCUGGCGGCGUGCCUAAUACAUGCAAGUCGAGCGAAUGGAUUGAGAGCUUGCUCUCAAGAAGUUAGCGGCGGACGGGUGAGUAACACGUGGGUAACCUGCCCAUAAGACUGGGAUAACUCCGGGAAACCGGGGCUAAUACCGGAUAAUAUUUUGAACUGCAUAGUUCGAAAUUGAAAGGCGGCUUCGGCUGUCACUUAUGGAUGGACCCGCGUCGCAUUAGCUAGUUGGUGAGGUAACGGCUCACCAAGGCAACGAUGCGUAGCCGACCUGAGAGGGUGAUCGGCCACACUGGGACUGAGACACGGCCCAGACUCCUACGGGAGGCAGCAGUAGGGAAUCUUCCGCAAUGGACGAAAGUCUGACGGAGCAACGCCGCGUGAGUGAUGAAGGCUUUCGGGUCGUAAAACUCUGUUGUUAGGGAAGAACAAGUGCUAGUUGAAUAAGCUGGCACCUUGACGGUACCUAACCAGAAAG
RNAcentral lists this ribosomal RNA (510 nucleotides) under Klebsiella pneumoniae. RNAcentral's name for it is "bacterial SSU rRNA". It matches the Rfam family "Bacterial small subunit ribosomal RNA", at positions 1 to 490 of the family's 1533-position model. Lineage: Bacteria; Pseudomonadati; Pseudomonadota; Gammaproteobacteria; Enterobacterales; Enterobacteriaceae. The record is from RNAcentral.